AGCGUACACGGUGGAUGCCCUGGCAGUCAGAGGCGAUGAAGGACGUGCUAAUCUGCGAUAAGCGUCGGUAAGGUGAUAUGAACCGUUAUAACCGGCGAUUUCCGAAUGGGGAAACCCAGUGUGUUUCGACACACUAUCAUUAACUGAAUCCAUAGGUUAAUGAGGCGAACCGGGGGAACUGAAACAUCUAAGUACCCCGAGGAAAAGAAAUCAACCGAGAUUCCCCCAGUAGCGGCGAGCGAACGGGGAGCAGCCCAGAGCCUGAAUCAGUGUGUGUGUUAGUGGAAGCGUCUGGAAAGGCGCGCGAUACAGGGUGACAGCCCCGUACACAAAAAUGCACAUGCUGUGAGCUCGAUGAGUAGGGCGGGACACGUGGUAUCCUGUCUGAAUAUGGGGGGACCAUCCUCCAAGGCUAAAUACUCCUGACUGACCGAUAGUGAACCAGUACCGUGAGGGAAAGGCGAAAAGAACCCCGGCGAGGGGAGUGAAAAAGAACCUGAAACCGUGUACGUACAAGCAGUGGGAGCACGCUUAGGCGUGUGACUGCGUACCUUUUGUAUAAUGGGUCAGCGACUUAUAUUCUGUAGCAAGGUUAACCGAAUAGGGGAGCCGAAGGGAAACCGAGUCUUAACUGGGCGUUAAGUUGCAGGGUAUAGACCCGAAACCCGGUGAUCUAGCCAUGGGCAGGUUGAAGGUUGGGUAACACUAACUGGAGGACCGAACCGACUAAUGUUGAAAAAUUAGCGGAUGACUUGUGGCUGGGGGUGAAAGGCCAAUCAAACCGGGAGAUAGCUGGUUCUCCCCGAAAGCUAUUUAGGUAGCGCCUCGUGAAUUCAUCUCCGGGGGUAGAGCACUGUUUCGGCAAGGGGGUCAUCCCGACUUACCAACCCGAUGCAAACUGCGAAUACCGGAGAAUGUUAUCACGGGAGACACACGGCGGGUGCUAACGUCCGUCGUGAAGAGGGAAACAACCCAGACCGCCAGCUAAGGUCCCAAAGUCAUGGUUAAGUGGGAAACGAUGUGGGAAGGCCCAGACAGCCAGGAUGUUGGCUUAGAAGCAGCCAUCAUUUAAAGAAAGCGUAAUAGCUCACUGGUCGAGUCGGCCUGCGCGGAAGAUGUAACGGGGCUAAACCAUGCACCGAAGCUGCGGCAGCGACACUAUGUGUUGUUGGGUAGGGGAGCGUUCUGUAAGCCUGUGAAGGUGUGCUGUGAGGCAUGCUGGAGGUAUCAGAAGUGCGAAUGCUGACAUAAGUAACGAUAAAGCGGGUGAAAAGCCCGCUCGCCGGAAGACCAAGGGUUCCUGUCCAACGUUAAUCGGGGCAGGGUGAGUCGACCCCUAAGGCGAGGCCGAAAGGCGUAGUCGAUGGGAAACAGGUUAAUAUUCCUGUACUUGGUGUUACUGCGAAGGGGGGACGGAGAAGGCUAUGUUGGCCGGGCGACGGUUGUCCCGGUUUAAGCGUGUAGGCUGGUUUUCCAGGCAAAUCCGGAAAAUCAAGGCUGAGGCGUGAUGACGAGGCACUACGGUGCUGAAGCAACAAAUGCCCUGCUUCCAGGAAAAGCCUCUAAGCAUCAGGUAACAUCAAAUCGUACCCCAAACCGACACAGGUGGUCAGGUAGAGAAUACCAAGGCGCUUGAGAGAACUCGGGUGAAGGAACUAGGCAAAAUGGUGCCGUAACUUCGGGAGAAGGCACGCUGAUAUGUAGGUGAAGCGACUUGCUCGUGGAGCUGAAAUCAGUCGAAGAUACCAGCUGGCUGCAACUGUUUAUUAAAAACACAGCACUGUGCAAACACGAAAGUGGACGUAUACGGUGUGACGCCUGCCCGGUGCCGGAAGGUUAAUUGAUGGGGUCAGCGCAAGCGAAGCUCUUGAUCGAAGCCCCGGUAAACGGCGGCCGUAACUAUAACGGUCCUAAGGUAGCGAAAUUCCUUGUCGGGUAAGUUCCGACCUGCACGAAUGGCGUAAUGAUGGCCAGGCUGUCUCCACCCGAGACUCAGUGAAAUUGAACUCGCUGUGAAGAUGCAGUGUACCCGCGGCAAGACGGAAAGACCCCGUGAACCUUUACUAUAGCUUGACACUGAACAUUGAGCCUUGAUGUGUAGGAUAGGUGGGAGGCUUUGAAGUGUGGACGCCAGUCUGCAUGGAGCCGACCUUGAAAUACCACCCUUUAAUGUUUGAUGUUCUAACGUUGACCCGUGAUCCGGGUUGCGGACAGUGUCUGGUGGGUAGUUUGACUGGGGCGGUCUCCUCCUAAAGAGUAACGGAGGAGCACGAAGGUUGGCUAAUCCUGGUCGGACAUCAGGAGGUUAGUGCAAUGGCAUAAGCCAGCUUGACUGCGAGCGUGACGGCGCGAGCAGGUGCGAAAGCAGGUCAUAGUGAUCCGGUGGUUCUGAAUGGAAGGGCCAUCGCUCAACGGAUAAAAGGUACUCCGGGGAUAACAGGCUGAUACCGCCCAAGAGUUCAUAUCGACGGCGGUGUUUGGCACCUCGAUGUCGGCUCAUCACAUCCUGGGGCUGAAGUAGGUCCCAAGGGUAUGGCUGUUCGCCAUUUAAAGUGGUACGCGAGCUGGGUUUAGAACGUCGUGAGACAGUUCGGUCCCUAUCUGCCGUGGGCGCUGGAGAACUGAGGGGGGCUGCUCCUAGUACGAGAGGACCGGAGUGGACGCAUCACUGGUGUUCGGGUUGUCAUGCCAAUGGCACUGCCCGGUAGCUAAAUGCGGAAGAGAUAAGUGCUGAAAGCAUCUAAGCACGAAACUUGCCCCGAGAUGAGUUCU
Molecule: ribosomal RNA, 2772 nt
Filed under: Escherichia coli
Lineage: Bacteria; Pseudomonadati; Pseudomonadota; Gammaproteobacteria; Enterobacterales; Enterobacteriaceae
Description: bacterial LSU rRNA
Rfam family: Bacterial large subunit ribosomal RNA
Source: RNAcentral